GGGUGGGUAACCGCGGGAAUACCCGCCUCCUCCCCGAAAGGGUGAGGCCGCUGGAUGGCGGACCAGAGCGAGUAGGGGAGGGGCCACCU
This 89-nucleotide non-coding RNA is filed under the name unclassified sequences. The record is from Rfam.